RNAcentral lists this ribosomal RNA (252 nucleotides) under uncultured bacterium. RNAcentral describes it as "partial 16S ribosomal RNA". It matches the Rfam family "Bacterial small subunit ribosomal RNA", at positions 524 to 776 of the family's 1533-position model. The record is from RNAcentral.
UACAGAGGUCCCAAGCGUUGUUCGGAUUUACUGGGCGUAAAGGGUGCGUAGGUGGCGGGGUAAGUCUGGUGUGAAAGCUCCGAGCUCAACUCGGAAAAGCAUUGGAAACUAUCCCGCUUGAGGGUCGGAGGGGAGACUGGAAUUCUCGGUGUAGCAGUGAAAUGCGUAGAUAUGCGGAGGAACACCGAUGGCGAAGGCAAUCCCCUGGGCCUGCACUGACGCUCAUGCACGAAAGCGUGGGGAGCAAACAGG